This 674-nucleotide ribosomal RNA is filed under the name uncultured metazoan. Its description in RNAcentral is "SSU rRNA". It matches the Rfam family "Eukaryotic small subunit ribosomal RNA", at positions 582 to 1257 of the family's 1831-position model. The record is from RNAcentral. Lineage: Eukaryota; Metazoa.
AUUCCAGCUCCAAUAGCGUAUAUUAAAGUUGUUGUGGUUAAAAAGCUCGUAGUUGGAUCUCAACAGCCUUGAAGCGGUUAACUUUGUAGUUUUACUGCUUUGUAGGUUGUGCUUUUGCUGGAGGUUUAGGGGUGCUCUUGAUCGAGUGUCUCUGGAUGCCAGCAGGUUUACUUUGAAAAAAUUAGAGUGCUCAAAGCAGGCUAAAAUGCCUGAAUAUUCGUGCAUGGAAUAAUAGAAUAGGAUGUCGAUCCUAUUUUGUUGGUUUUCGGGACUCGACAUAAUGAUAAAUAGGGACAGUCGGGGGCAUUUGUAUUCAAACGACAGAGGUGAAAUUCUUGGACCGUUUGAAGACAAACUACUGCGAAAGCAUUUGCCAAGAAUGUUUUCAUUAAUCAAGAACGAAAGUUAGAGGUUCGAAGGCGAUCAGAUACCGCCCUAGUUCUAACCAUAAACGAUGCCAGCUAGCGAUCUGCGGGUGUGUAAAAACAAGACCCCGCAGGGAGCUUCCGGGAAACCAAAGCUUGUGGGUUCCGGGGGAAGUAUGGUUGCAAAGCUGAAACUUAAAGGAAUUGACGGAAGGGCACCACCAGGAGUGGAGCCUGCGGCUUAAUUUGACUCAACACGGGAAAUCUCACCAGGCCCGGACACCGGAAGGAUUGACAGAUUGAGAGCUU